RNAcentral lists this ribosomal RNA (203 nucleotides) under uncultured Actinomycetales bacterium. RNAcentral describes it as "partial 16S ribosomal RNA". It matches the Rfam family "Bacterial small subunit ribosomal RNA", at positions 128 to 334 of the family's 1533-position model. The record is from RNAcentral. Lineage: Bacteria; Bacillati; Actinomycetota; Actinomycetes; Actinomycetales.
CCACUGCACUCUGGGAUAAGCCUGGGAAACUGGGUCUAAUACCGGAUAGGACCAUGCUUUAGUGUGUGUGGUGGAAAGUUUUUUCGGUGUAGGAUGAGCCCGCGGCCUAUCAGCUUGUUGGUGGGGUAAUGGCCUACCAAGGCGGCGACGGGUAGCCGGACUGAGAGGUUGGUCGGCCACAUUGGGACUGAGAUACGGCCCAG